GCAUAUCAAUAAGCGGAGGAAAAGAAACCAACAGGGAUUGCCUCAGUAACGGCGAGUGAAGCGGCAAAAGCUCAAAUUUGAAAUCUGGCGCCUCUGGUGCUCGAGUUGUAAUUUGUAGAGGAUACUUCGGGUGCGGUCCCGGCUUAAGUCCCUUGGAACAGGGCGUCAGAGAGGGUGAGAGUCCCGUCUUGAGCCGUGGGUCCGCCCCGUGUGAAGUUCCUUCGACGAGUCGAGUUGUUUGGGAAUGCAGCUCUAAGUGGGUGGUAAAUUUCAUCUAAAGCUAAAUACUGGCUGGAGACCGAUAGCGCACAAGUAGAGUGAUCGAAAGGUUAAAAGCACCUUGAAAAGGGAGUUAAAUAGCACGUGAAAUUGUUGAAAGGGAAGCGCUUGCGGCCAGACUCGGUCGCGGGGGUUCAGCGGGCCUGCGGGCCUGUGUACUCCCCCGCGCUCCGGGCCAGCAUCGGUUUCGGCGGCCGGUCAAAGGCGUCUGGAAGGUAUCGUCCCCCGGGACGACUUAUAGCCAGGCGCGCAAUGCGGCCAGCCGGGACCGAGGAACGCGCUCCGGCACGGAUGCUGGCAUAAUGGCCGCAAGCGGCCCGUCUUGAAACACGGAC
This 614-nucleotide ribosomal RNA is filed under the name Paranannizziopsis longispora. RNAcentral's name for it is "eukaryotic LSU rRNA". It matches the Rfam family "Eukaryotic large subunit ribosomal RNA", at positions 38 to 666 of the family's 3401-position model. The record is from RNAcentral. Lineage: Eukaryota; Fungi; Ascomycota; Eurotiomycetes; Onygenales; Nannizziopsiaceae.